This 227-nucleotide long non-coding RNA is filed under the name Eucalyptus grandis. RNAcentral describes it as "long non-coding RNA (EGRA_LNC000239)". The record is from RNAcentral. Lineage: Eukaryota; Viridiplantae; Streptophyta; Magnoliopsida; Myrtales; Myrtaceae.
CGGGGGCGGUGGAGGCUCUGGCAGCUAGACGGCUCUGGUUGAGUUCAACAAGGCACAAGACAGCGGCCUAGAAGUAGGGACAGACGGUUGGAGCGUCGGGGUCAUGCGGACAAGGCGCGACGGCGUGCGUGCAAGGCGGGCUGGCGAACGGCAAUGGACGGCUGCAAACAGCAUCGACAGCUUCUCUAUUGGCUGAUGGAAGCGAAAUGGCAAGGAGGAGGGAUGAG